GAUCGUGCCAGCAGCCGCGGUAAUACGGAGGGUGCAAGCGUUAAUCGGAAUUACUGGGCGUAAAGCGCAUGCAGGCGGUCUGUUAAGUCAGAUGUGAAAGCCCCGGGCUUAACCUGGGAGUGGCAUUUGAGACUGGCAGGCUAGGGUCUUGUAGAGGGGGGUAGAAUUCCAGGUGUAGCGGUGAAAUGCGUAGAGAUCUGGAGGAAUAUCGGUGGCGAAGGCGGCCCCCUGGACAAAGACUGACGCUCAGAUGCGAAAGCGUGGGUAGCAAACAGGAUUAAUACCCUGGUAGUCCACGCCGUAAACGAUGUCUACUUGAAGGUUGGGAUCUUGAAUUCUGGCCUUCGGAGCUAACGCGUUAAGUAGACCGCCUGGGGAGUACGGUCGCAAGAUUAAAACUCAAAUGAAUUGACGGGGGCCCGCACAAGCGGUGGAGCAUGUGGUUUAAUUCGAUGCAACGCGAAGAACCUUACCUACUCUUGACAUCCAGAGAAGCCAGCAGAGAUGCAGGUGUGCCUUCGGGAACUCUGAGACAGGUGCUGCAUGGCUGUCGUCAGCUCGUGUUGCGAAAUGUUGGGUUAAGUCCCGCAACGAGCGCAACCCUUAUCCUUGUUUGCCAGCACGUAAUGGUGGGAACUCCAGGGAGACUGCCGGUGAUAAACCGG
Molecule: ribosomal RNA, 665 nt
Filed under: uncultured Vibrionaceae bacterium
Lineage: Bacteria; Pseudomonadati; Pseudomonadota; Gammaproteobacteria; Vibrionales; Vibrionaceae
Description: bacterial SSU rRNA
Rfam family: Bacterial small subunit ribosomal RNA
Source: RNAcentral